UGGGGCGUAGCCAAGUGGUAAGGCAGCGGGUUUUGAUCCCGCCAUCCGCAGGUUCGAAUCCUGCCGCCCCAGCCA
This 75-nucleotide transfer RNA is filed under the name Gammaproteobacteria bacterium. RNAcentral describes it as "tRNA-Gln". It matches the Rfam family "tRNA". Rfam says of the family: Transfer RNA (tRNA) molecules are approximately 80 nucleotides in length. Their secondary structure includes four short double-helical elements and three loops (D, anti-codon, and T loops). Lineage: Bacteria; Pseudomonadati; Pseudomonadota; Gammaproteobacteria. The record is from RNAcentral. RNAcentral also lists the same sequence under 2 other names.